UAUGAAGGCCCUACCGUAUGAUGUAACUGAAGAAACUCUCCCAGAGUACAAAUCAAACAAGGUCGCAAAGCUAGCCAAGAAACUCGUAGAUGACCAGAAGGUA
This is a long non-coding RNA of Cydia pomonella (codling moth), 103 nucleotides long. RefSeq lists it as uncharacterized. NCBI's taxonomy places the organism in Eukaryota, Metazoa, Arthropoda, Insecta, Lepidoptera, Tortricidae. The transcript has 3 exons. The record is from RefSeq and is a predicted model, not a curated record.